GGUGCUGCGGGCCGCGCCGCAGAAGAUGUCGGCGGCGCGGUGCUGGUGGUGGCUGCCGGCGCUGCUAUGGGGCGGCGCGGGGGGCUACGUGGUUCUCAGCUCGGUGUCCUGGCCGCUGCCCGAGGCGGGGGGAGCGGCAGACGAGCUGCACAGCUCCUCCACCGAGGAGGCUCUGCCCGGCCUUCUGGAGGAGGCGGGCGGCAUCUGGAAGCAGAGCUUCCCGGCCUCGGCGUACCGGGAGGACGCGGCGCUGGGCCCCGGGGCGUCGGCGCGGCGCUCGGAGCAGGGGGCCGCCCCCUCCCGGAUGUUCUCGUACCGCCGGCAGCCCGCAGCACCGCCGGGCCGCGCCGCCACCGCCCGCCGCCUCGCCCGACACGGCGCCUGGGGCUUCGUGGCCUCCCGGGCCGCCCACGGAAAGAUCCAAGGAAUGCCCUAUGGGAACCUUUUGCCUGUCAGUGACGGUCCUGUCAAUAACAGCACCGGGAUUCCUUUCUUUUAUGUGACACUGAAAGAUAAUGCAGUGGCAGAUCUCCUUAAGGAUCCUGUAGCGUCACUGACCCUACCAGAAUCAGAUGGGAAUUUCUGCAGAUCAUCAGGUUCAACUGCCAACCCAUCACAACCACGCCCACUAAACCAUGUCCCUAAGUGCCACCUCUACCGACACCUGACAGCUCUGGACAUCCCACUGGUUGGGUUGUAGCUCCCGAGAAGAGAUUUUGGUAAACAACAAUCUUCCAUGUAAAGGAUGCUGGGUUUGAGAUGUACUGAUCUACAGCCGGUCUGAGAUAAACACCUUCUGCAGCACUCCAGUACCCCACAGGAAAGCUUCAGCAGCUUCUGCCAGGCUUCUUCUAUGCCAAGUUGUCCAGAGCGGCCGUGUGAGCAACAGGGAGCAUCCUUAGUGCUGGGCUUUGUGAGGUGAUGUAGCAGUCUUCUCUCUCCUCCUUGCUCAUGCCUGUUAUCCUGGCAGACCUCAUAUUGUGCUAGAUGUCAAGGCAGUAUCUGUGAGGUUUUCUUCAAAAAAAGAAGUGCCAUUUAUAGAUGGUAUUAAUACCAAAACUUCUCUCAGUCUAGGACAUUAUUAGUUGUUUUAAUUCCAAAAUAAUUAUGCAAAAUAGCUGAAGGAAUAAUGCUCGACGUGAGAAAGUUCAUGUCCUUAUAUGCCAGCAGUGAAUUUGGCCUUGUAGCUUGUUUACAUGUAUAAUUUUAUUAGAAUGCAACUAUUAAACUGCUCUAAGUUGUGCGACUUAAAAUAACUGAAAGCUGUUUGAUGCUCAUAGUCAAUGCUUGGUGUUUGUGUUUGGUGCUCUCCUGGAGAAUGCUCCUGACCUAUUGCAUACAAAGGAAAUCUCUGGCCUUUUGCAAGAAAACAUAGCUGACAUUUCGAUAGUCUUCUUGUAUCUAAUGAGUUUCAAGUGGCUUGUGUGCUUGUACAUCAGUUUGAUAUUAAAUUUAGUAGUGAAUUUCAUUUGCUUUGGUUCAGAAUAUACUCAGGUUUCAAACCUUGACAAUAAAUAUUCCCCCUUUCUGGGCUGUAAGGGAUAUAGGGUGGCCUUUUUUGUUUUCCAGCCUUAGUACUUAAUCAUCUGGGGAAAAAGAAUUAAAAAGCUCGAACUGUGCUGGCUUUUAAAAAUGAAAGAAAGAGAGCUGUGAUAGAUGGUAUCAGGGUUGCAAUGCAUGCUACUGUUGCAACUAUAGCCUGGAUUCCUCAUCUCUGACCUAGAGAUUUCCAUUUCCCAGAGGGACACAGGCUGUUCCUCUCUCUGCAGAUGCUCUCUGAUGGUCAGGCUGCAGGAGUGUUAGUUAGUGGUGACACUCUGUCUGAUCUGAUGGCAGAUAAAUGGAUAAUGGAGGCAAGAAAAAUUAAAUGGUUCAAGGCUAUAAAUAGACUACACUGGCAUGCCUAUUCUGCAGAGAAACUGAAAAGAUUGAGUCUUAUUCUUGCAGAUUUCAGAGAGAACAAGACUGGGGCCUAUACUAAAGAAUAGAGAGGCUAUUGUUCUGAAUAAAUUUCCCAACACACAAGCUGCUUGGAAAGAGGAUCUCUUUCCAAGUAAGAUCCUGGACCUGCCUUAUUACUGCUGCAGUCUGGAAAACAGGCAAUUAAUUUUAAACAUGUGUCAUCUCCUUGACAUCAGGUUCAGCACAUUCAAAGGGACCAAAUGCAGCUUUCUGAGAGGAGGAACAGUUACAUGGCUGCCAUAGGCUGGUUUUCACACAAGGGGAAAAGAAAGAGAAGUGAUAAGCUAAGUCCUUAGGUUCGUUUCCCUUUGCUGUUAGCUUGAAGAUGGUGUUUCAAAUCCUCACUGCAGACUGGGAGCGAUUUUGAGUGACCCAGAUUCCUCUGCUGUUUUAUGACAUGCAUCAGAGAUGGCUCCUUCAGAGCCAUUCCACCAACCCUGUUUCAUCUUCUGCUUGAGGUACAACACUGGCAUGAACUAAAGCAUCUCCAGCAUUUUUGGAGGGCGGCAGGCCACCAGGAGGACUGCUAGAGGAGAGCACUUUGGCAG
Molecule: RNA transcript, 2510 nt
Organism: Lagopus muta (rock ptarmigan)
Lineage: Eukaryota; Metazoa; Chordata; Aves; Galliformes; Phasianidae
Gene: CREG2
Gene name: cellular repressor of E1A stimulated genes 2
Exons: 4
Source: RefSeq, a predicted model, not a curated record